This 706-nucleotide ribosomal RNA is filed under the name uncultured bacterium. RNAcentral's name for it is "bacterial SSU rRNA". It matches the Rfam family "Bacterial small subunit ribosomal RNA", at positions 8 to 719 of the family's 1533-position model. The record is from RNAcentral.
AGAGUUUGAUCCUGGCUCAGGAUGAACGCUGGCGGCGUGCUUAACACAUGCAAGUCGAACGCUGAAGCUCCCAGCUUGCUGGGGGUGGAUGAGUGGCGAACGGGUGAGUAUCACGUGAGUAACCUGCCCUUGACUCUGGGAUAAGCCCGGGAAACUGGGUCUAAUACUGGAUAGGACUGGCCAUCGCAUGGUGGUUGGUUGAAAGCUUUUGCGGUUUUGGAUGGACUCGCGGCCUAUCAGCUUGUUGGUGGGGUAAUGGCCUACCAAGGCUUUGACGGGUAGCCGGCCUGAGAGGGUGACCGGCCACACUGGGACUGAGACACGGCCCAGACUCCUACGGGAGGCAGCAGUGGGGGAUAUUGCACAAUGGGCGCAAGCCUGAUGCAGCGACGCCGCGUGAGGGAUGACGGCCUUCGGGUUGUAAACCUCUUUCAGUUGGGAAGAAGCCUUUCGGGGUGACGAUACCUUCAGAAGAAGCACCGGCUAACUACGUGCCAGCAGCCGCGGUAAUACGUAGGGUGCGAGCGUUAUCCGGAAUUAUUGGGCGUAAAGAGCUCGUAGGCGGUUUGUCACGUCUGCUGUGAAAGCUCGGGGCUUAACUCCGAGUGUGCAGUGGGUACGGGCAGGCUGGAGUGCAGUAGGGGAGACUGGAAUUCCUGGUGUAGCGGUGAAAUGCGCAGAUAUCAGGAGGAACACCGAUGGCGAA